AGCCCGAUAGUCUAGCGGUCAAGGAUUCUGCCCUCUGGAGGCAGAGACGGGAGUUCGAAUCUUCCUCGGGCUA
This 73-nucleotide transfer RNA is filed under the name Candidatus Nitrosopumilus sp. RNAcentral's name for it is "Nitrosopumilus sp. tRNA-Gln". It matches the Rfam family "tRNA". From Rfam's summary of the family: Transfer RNA (tRNA) molecules are approximately 80 nucleotides in length. The record is from RNAcentral. Lineage: Archaea; Thermoproteati; Nitrososphaerota; Nitrososphaeria; Nitrosopumilales; Nitrosopumilaceae.